Molecule: ribosomal RNA, 1883 nt
Filed under: Amphilina foliacea
Lineage: Eukaryota; Metazoa; Platyhelminthes; Cestoda; Amphilinidea; Amphilinidae
Description: partial 28S ribosomal RNA
Rfam family: Eukaryotic large subunit ribosomal RNA
Source: RNAcentral
UAGGUCGACCCGCUGAAUUUAAGCAUAUCACUAAGCGGAGGAAAAGAAACUAACCAGGAUUCCCUCAGUAACGGCGAGUGAAGGGGGAAGAGCCCAGAACCGAAGCCUGCGCCAGGUUUGACGCUAGGCCAUGUGGUGUUGAGGUGGACCUGCGCGAUUGCUGCCCCAUUCGAAGUCCAACACUGAGUAUGGCUCCAAUAAUUUGGCCCAGAGAGGGUGAAAGGCCCGUGCGAAUGGGGAAUCAGAUAGGUGCAAGGCAGUUGCCCGGGUUGACCUUAGAGUCGGGUUGUUUGAGAUUGCAGCCCAAAUCGGGUGGUAGACUCCAUCCAAGGCUAAAUACUGGCACGAGUCCGAUAGCGAACAAGUACCGUGAGGGAAAGUUGAAAAGUACUUUGAAAAGAGAGUAAACAGUACGUGAAACCGCAUAGAGGUAAACGGGUGGCGUCAAGCUGCAAGCCCGGAGGAUUCAGUCGGUCAGUGUGUAGAUUGCAUGCGCCCGGCGCAUGGAACUGUCCCAGUCUUACCUCCCCCUGGAGACAGGGGGGCCUGGGGGCUGAUGGCGGUCUCACCGCUGUCGCCUCGAGGGCAGGUGUCCUGGUUGGUUGCCGGAGCCUGAGGUAGGCUGAAGCAUAAGGGACUGUCUGGCCGAUGCACUUCCUCCGCUACCUACAUGGUGGUGGACACCACGAUCGGCGGGACUGCCAGUCUGCCACGGUCAGGUGCUGCCCAGUCAACCGGUCAGCCGGUUGGUUGGCUCACUAUCACAGGCAAGCUUGGUGUAACGGUGUUCAGGGCUUCUUUUACUAGAGCCCCAGGGCAUGUUAUCGGGCACCGCUUGCAAACGGUUGACCACACCAAGGGUCGACAGAGCCUGGUGUGUCCUGGCUCAACCGGUGGACCGUGGUGGUAUGAAUAACUGUGCAGGGCGUCGUAGUUAGCGGUCCUAUAAUUACGUGGCCUUGCGGCUGCGGGGUGCACACGCCGUCUGUCGCGGAGGCAACAGGUGGGCCGCCGAAGCUGGUUGCCGUUGGGAUGGUGUGACUGUCUUGGGUAGCCUGUGCAAAGCAGGCCCCGCAGUGGCUACCCAGCGGAUGGCCUCAGUGACGGUGGCCUGUACGUGCUGCGCCUAAAUUUUGUAGAGGGCCUAACAAUCUGUGGUGUUGUGGUAGACGAGCUACCCGACCCGUCUCGAAACACGGACCAAGGAGUUUAACAUGUGCGCGAGUCAUUGGGUCCUACGAAACCCAGAGGCGCAGUGAAAGUGAAGUGGAGCCUGUGCGUCUGUGUCUCUCUGAGUGUGAUGGUGUGUGUGUGUGUGUGUGAGUGAGUGAGUGUUUGAGGCUGUGUGUUGCUUUAUCGGCACGCACAGACAAAGCACGCACCCACGCAUGCAUGCACGCACGCACGCACACACUGGCACAUACGUACACCUCUGUGUGGUGAGAUCCCGUCGUUACUCGCGCGCACGCAUGCAUACACGCGCUGGUGGCUGGCAGUGGGAAGAGCGGGCUAGGCUCUGCUCUGCUCCCGCUGCUCUCUGCUCUACCGUGUACUGUGCAGGGGCACCGGGCAUAGAGCGACGGGCGCAUCACCGGCCCGUCCCAUGGUGUGGUCGUUGGUAGCUGUGAGGGACCAGGCAUGCCGUUUUUCAACUGCCUGUCUGCCCUCGCCUGCCAGCGCGUCACCGGGGCGGAGCAGGAGCGCGCAUGUUGAGACCCGAAAGAUGGUGAACUAUGCUUGCGCAGGUUGAAGCCAGAGGAAACUCUGGUGGAGGACCGCAGCGAUUCUGACGUGCAAAUCGAUCGUCAAACGUGAGUAUAGGGGCGAAAGACUAAUCGAACCAUCUAGUAGCUGGUUCCCUCCGAAGUUUCCCUCAGGAUAGC